AUUGAACGCUGGCGGCAGGCCUAACACAUGCAAGUCGAACGGGUGGCGGACGGGUGAGGAAUGUCUGUGAAACUGGCUGAUGGAGGUGGAUAACUACAGCAAACGGUAAUUAAUCAUGCAUACCAUCAGAUCUGCCCAGAUUGGAUUAGCUAGUAGGUGGGGUAACGGCUUACCAAGGCGACGAUCCCUAGCUGGUCUGAGAGGAUGAUCAGUCACACUGGAACUGAGACACGGUCCAGACUCCUACGGGAGGCAGCAGUGGGGAAUAUUGGACAAUGGGCGAAAGCCUGAUGCAGCCAUGCCGCGUGUAUGAAGAAGGUCUUCGGGUUGUAAAGUACUUUAAGUGGGGAGGCGUUACCAGCAGAAGAAGCACCGGCUAACUCCGUGCCAGCAGCCGCGGUAAUUC
Molecule: ribosomal RNA, 406 nt
Filed under: uncultured bacterium
Lineage: Bacteria
Description: partial 16S ribosomal RNA
Rfam family: Bacterial small subunit ribosomal RNA
Source: RNAcentral